AUAAUUGCCACACAUUGUGGGAGGGAACUAAUGGGAGACAACUGAAUCAUGGAGGCAGGUCUUUCCCAUGCUGAACUAUCUGAUGGUUUUAUAAAGGGA
Molecule: long non-coding RNA, 99 nt
Organism: Sapajus apella (tufted capuchin)
Lineage: Eukaryota; Metazoa; Chordata; Mammalia; Primates; Cebidae
Exons: 3
Source: RefSeq, a predicted model, not a curated record